GUAGUCGUGGCCGAGUGGUUAAGGCGACAGACUAGAAAUCUGUUGGGAUUUUCCCGCGCAGGUUCAAAUCCUGCCGACUACG
RNAcentral lists this transfer RNA (82 nucleotides) under Paramuricea clavata. It matches the Rfam family "tRNA". From Rfam's summary of the family: Transfer RNA (tRNA) molecules are approximately 80 nucleotides in length. Their secondary structure includes four short double-helical elements and three loops (D, anti-codon, and T loops). Lineage: Eukaryota; Metazoa; Cnidaria; Anthozoa; Malacalcyonacea; Plexauridae. The record is from Rfam by way of RNAcentral.